UACGGAGGGUGCAAGCGUUAAUCGGAAUUACUGGGCGUAAAGCGCACGCAGGCGGUCAAUUAAGUCAGAUGUGAAAGCCCCGAGCUUAACUUGGGAAUUGCAUCUGAAACUGGUUGGCUAGAGUCUUGUAGAGGGGGGUAGAAUUCCAUGUGUAGCGGUGAAAUGCGUAGAGAUGUGGAGGAAUACCGGUGGCGAAGGCGGCCCCAUGGACAAAGACUGACGCUCAGGUGCGAAAGCGUGGGGAGCAAACAGG
This 253-nucleotide ribosomal RNA is filed under the name uncultured bacterium. RNAcentral describes it as "partial 16S ribosomal RNA". It matches the Rfam family "Bacterial small subunit ribosomal RNA", at positions 524 to 776 of the family's 1533-position model. The record is from RNAcentral.